CCAGGCCCUGCUGCACGUUCCAGGAGGGAGCGGUAGAGGAGUGAGACACACGGCAAUUCAGAGCAUGACACCAGCAACGAGAAAAAGAGAGGCGCUCAUCCUUUUGACCCACCCUGCAACAGCUGCCAAGCCCGACCCAGAGGCCUGCCCACCAGUGCUGAGAGCCUGGCCGGCCUCUGCAAGGGGCCCAGGGACACAGACCAGCUAACAAAGGAAGGGGGGCAGCGAGGCAGGGACAAAAAGCACAACCCAACAUGGAGAUGAACGAGGACACAAGAGCCACCCUCCAGGAGCUCCAUCCGCCUGGAGGCUGCCCUGCGUGAAGUGGGCAUGGAGCUCAUGACGCGUCCGAGGAAACUGGAGAGGGCAGAUCAAUCGUCGUCUGAAACAACAGGCCGCCUCCCUCGCCAUCAAUGCACAGCUUGGCGUUGGCAGCACUGCCUGGCGAGGGGGCCAAGCCUGUUCCACCCGCUGAAGGCUGGGUGGAUGGAGGAGUGGGCAGAGCCCUCCACACACGUACACAGCCCACAUGGAAAAGCAGGAACAGAAGGAGCACUGGCUUUGGAGUCAGACAGACCUGGGUUUCAUUUAGACUCCUGACUCUCCUCAUUUAUCAGUAGAGACGUCCGGGCAGCACGGAACGGACCAGAAGCCCCUAGAAGUGUGAAGACCGAAGGUGGUGGCGAGAAGGAAGAGCGUGACCCUGGGAAGUGGGGAGUGUGUCCCCCACCCCCGCUCACCCGUCAGAGGGGAAACCACGGCUCAGAAACAAGUGACACAUCCAAGGCUCACAGUGACCACAGGCCACGCAGACCCGAGACUCAAACCAGUAUUUGACCCCACCUGACAUCCGUCACGUGCCCAUUUGACUGUUCGGAGGCAGCCCCGUGACAGCAGGGGUCUGUCUGAGUCGCAUCUGCACCCCACGGUCUGCCUCAGCAGCAGCCACACGGCCGGGGCUCAGUGGAGGUCUGCCGGGUCCACGAAAGAAUGAAAUACAGCAGUGGAGGCGAGUCAGAGCUACUGGAAGGGCAGGGGUCCGAGGCUUUGGGCCCGGGCCUGUCUUCAUCACAGGUGUGGGACCGAGAGGGGCACAAACUUAUGCUUCACGUAGUCAUUCAACAAAUGUUUACGGACACGCCUUCUUGCCAAGUCCAGUGCUGGCACUGAAUGUGCCAAGUGGAGUCUCCAGAGAGGCCCCUGACUGCAUGGGAGACGUGCUGGGGGCUGGGGGACCCUUGGAAGGGGAACCUCACCCAGUCUUGGGCCUCAGGGAGGGUUUCCUAAAGGAAGUGAUGUGUGAGUUUAGUCUCAGGAUGAGUAGCAUUUAGCCAGGGGAGGAGGAAGCGUGUUCCAGGCAGAAGACACAGCACAGCCAAUGGCCCAGCGUAGGACGGAGUGUGAGCACUGGGAGAACCGCCCUGUUCCAGUGUGGCUGCGGCAGAGAGCGCGAGGGAGGCCAAGGCGGGAGUGCUCAGAACAAACCAGAGUGUGGAGGCCCUGUGGGCGGGCAGAGGAGCCUGGGCCCCGUGCCAAGGGUGAUGGAGAGCACACCCUGCACUGUCCCGCCUGCCCCCGGUCAGUCCCAAGGACACAGCAACUCAUUUCCACUUCUGGGCUUUCAUGCUUGUUGUUCCCUCUGCCUAGAAAGCUCUUCCCUGACUCUCCACCCUGGCUCGCCUCCUCCUUCCGGUCUAGGCAGGAGGAUGGGCUGCUGAGAGGCUGACCCUGGGCAGCCAACAGCAGUGGACGCCUCCAGGACUACACGUCCCAGCACCCUCUCUGGGUCCUGCAGCGUCUGUGGCAGACAGCUUCGCUGCUCCCAGUUCUCCGCCUCCCGCAGCCACAACCUUCUCUCAGUGCCUUUGUGCGAUCGCCCACCAGGGAUGGUGCAUUCUCCCACCACACUGACUAGGGCCUUGACCCUGAGACUUGCUUUGGCCAGCGGGGUGUGGGCAGAGGUGAGAGAGCCCCAGUUCUGAGCCUUAACAGGCACUGCAGGUUCCUCUUUGCCGCCUUGCCCUCCCACCAUCCUCAUGGGACAGAAAUGUCCCAAGUCGCCCAAGGAUGAGGCCUGCGGAGCAGCCCUGGAGCAAGCCCCCCUGAGCCCAGCUGGAUCCCAUGAUCCCCAGCUGAUCUGCAGACUUAGUUUGUGGACGGUUCAUCCAAAAGAGCUGAUGACCCGGGUGUGGAACACCACACUCUUCUCCCAGGACUAGAGAUGAAGCAGACAGAGAGCUCCUCAGUGACGGAAUCUCAGGCAGAGGCAGAGGCAGCGAGGCAAACCCGGCGGGGGAAGGGGGUCCCUGGGGAGGCGGCAACAACGCAUGUGGGUUGGGAACCCCCAUUCGUGCGCGGAGGAAGCGUGGCGAGCAACGCUCCCAUCUGCUCAGCUCUUUGCAGUUUACAGAGCGCUUUCCUACACGCCUCCAGGGCCAGUGCCCACGGCAACCUCGCAGGAAGCUGUCCUCCCCACGGAGGCCUGAGAAGACUGAGGCUGUUGACUUUUCGGAGCACACACAGCCUUGAAGGACCAGAGUGGGGACCAGGGCUGGUCUGAUCGCCACCUGAGCUGGCUCUGCUCUGCCGACGUGGAGAUCACUUCCAGGAGCUGGAGACUCGGGGCAGGCUGGUGUCCUAAGGGGUGGGGGGGGGGUCAGCCCACGCGGGAGCCUGGUGACCCCCUGGGGAGUCCGGGCACUGGGAAGGAGGUCGGUGCCCUGUGGAUUUGUCUCCGUGGAGGGAACCACAAUCUUUAGAACGAAGCUCACCUUCAGAAAAGACUCUCAGAAAGAACUCGGGUGAUAAAGAUGCUCGGAGGACGGAGGUGAGAGGACGAUUAAGAGGUGAGGGGGCGAGGUAACCUCCUGCGGAAAAGCUGCUCAGGCCGGGCCUUGAGGAGAAGCCGGUGCGGAGAAUUCUGCCGGCAGAGCUCAGGGAAGCUCCCAGCUCCUCACCACCCUCUCCCCGCUGAGACAGGCAGCGCUCCCUUCUCGAGGCACCCUGGACGGACCAUGCUCUGCACACAUUGCGUCACUCGUUGGUGAUAUUCUGCUUGGCGGUUUCUGUGUCGGCCUCGCCUACUAGACUUGGCGCUGCCCUCUCAUUCAUUCGUUCACUCAUUCCUUCACCCACAGGGUGCCUAGCAGUACUGGGUGCUGGAGAUCCAGUGACAGGUGGGAUGGACAAGGUCGCGUGGAUAGUGGUGUGAAGGGUCAGGAGAGAGGGCUUUCCUGUGGCCUCACACCUGGACACCUGGCUUUCUCGAUGAGGAAUCCAGGUGCUAGAAUCUUCCAGCCAAGAACUUGUUACAGUGGCCCCCUUCCUGUCUCCACAGCAGCCUGGCUUUCCCCCGCUGCAGCUUUGUUCCUUUGGCUCCAGACGUUGCUUCCUGUUAAAUUCAGAUCUGCCCACCACAGAGGAACACAGUGGCCUUGUCCAUCAGGACUCCUGUGAGACAGCUGAGGCUCGGGAAGGUCACAUAGCUGGGAGAAGGCAGAGCUGGGGAGCAAACUCAGGCCGAUGAGACGCCAGUGUGUAUGUCCUUCGACGACAGCCCAGCUCCUGGCUUCCCCAGGCAGUUGGAGAAGGCCCAUCUGCAGCAGGACAGAAGGAGCCCAGCCCAGAGACACCCAAGGCCAAGAGGUCCACGGCCCACUGCUCUUGCCAAGGGCCUGCGUGGGGCCCGAGGGACACGGAGCUGAAGAAGGAGCAGCAGCUGUUCUUGAGCUCACGGUCCAGUGGGGGCGCGGCGAGGAGUCAGCCGCCUGGAUGGAUGUGGGCACCUGCUCUUGGGCCAUCGCUGUGCUGGCAGCUGCAGGACUGGAAGGGAAGGAGCCGUUGGCCAGGAGAAGGUGGCCUCCUGCAUUGGAACUGGCCUCAGGAGAGGGACCAGCCUGAGGGUGUGAGGGUCCAGCAGGAAAGGUGGCACGGGCACAGGGCCGGGCAGGGGUGAGGUGUGGGAAGCGCUGGCUUGGCCCCGAGGGUGAGCACUGCCUUCAAUCUGCACCCCAGGAGCCUCACUUGUGGCGACCUUGUGCCUGCCCCACACACGCCACCAGGGGAAAGUGAGGGACAUUAACCAGGGUGACCUGUGAGGGUGGAGGGCGAGGCUGAGCAGGACCAGGGCCAGAGAGCAAAGGCCACUUCCCUGGCUGGCCAGAGGAGGGCGCAGCUCCAACGGAGGGGACAGGGGCUGUGACCUCAGCGGGGAUGCAGCCAACUGAGGCAGCCCCGAGGGAGGGAGCCAAGAACGCACACCCCAACCCCGCUCCCUUCCUGCUGUCCAUCUCCCAUGAGCCUGCACCGCACCGUGGUCAACCCCAAUGGGGAAACAGAGGCCAGGGAGCCCCUCGAUGCCGGCUGUGGCGGGCAGAACGAUGCUCUUCACAGGGAUCCAUGUACACAUCCCUGGAACCUUCCAUGGCAAACGGGACUUUGCAAGUGUAAUUAAAUUAAAGACUUUGAGAUGGGGAGAUUUCUGGAUUAUCUUGGGCCCAACGGAAUCACAAGAGUCCUCAAAGAGGGAGGCAGGAGGGUCAGAGGCAGGGAGCAGAGAUACGAGGAUGGAACUUGAGGGUCAAAGAGGCUGGAAGAUGCUCCGCUGCUGGCUUUGAAGAUGGGAGAAGGUGCCACGAACCAAGGAAAGCCAGUGGCCUCCAGAAGCUGGAAAGGACAAGGAAACGGGUCUCCAUAGCACCCCCAGAUGGAGCCUGCCCUGCCGCCAACACCUUGACCUCAGCCCUGAGACUGAUUUCGGACUUCUGACCUCCAGACUGGAAGAGAGUAAAUCUGUGUUGUUUAAGCCAC
Molecule: long non-coding RNA, 4809 nt
Organism: Equus quagga
Lineage: Eukaryota; Metazoa; Chordata; Mammalia; Perissodactyla; Equidae
Exons: 8
Source: RefSeq, a predicted model, not a curated record